UACAGAGGGGGCAAGCGUUGUUCGGAAUUACUGGGCGUAAAGGGCGCGUAGGCGGCCUUCUAAGUCGAACGUGAAAUCCCCGGGCUCAACCCGGGAACUGCGUCCGAUACUGGAAGGCUUGAAUCCGGGAGAGGGAUGCGGAAUUCCAGGUGUAGCGGUGAGAUGCGUAGAUAUCUGGAGGAACACCGGUGGCGAAGGCGGCAUCCUGGACCGGCAUUGACGCUGAGGCGCGAAAGCGUGGGGAGCGAACAGG
This 253-nucleotide ribosomal RNA is filed under the name uncultured bacterium. RNAcentral describes it as "partial 16S ribosomal RNA". It matches the Rfam family "Bacterial small subunit ribosomal RNA", at positions 524 to 776 of the family's 1533-position model. The record is from RNAcentral.